GUGUUUAGUUCGAGAGGGGGCUCCUUAACUCCAAUUCAGGGUUUGACCUGAAGCAGUCCUGGUCCAGUUCAAGGGCCAAAUUGGCCCUUGGCCGAGUUUAUGGACUGGGUUUGCUGCAUGUCCCAUCUGAUAAUUUCAAUGGAAGUACUGAAACUUAGAAGUGAAUUCAUUGAAUGUAAGUCCAUUCAGGGAAAGUUUUUUUUUUUUUUUUUU
Molecule: unclassified non-coding RNA, 213 nt
Filed under: Hevea brasiliensis (rubber tree)
Lineage: Eukaryota; Viridiplantae; Streptophyta; Magnoliopsida; Malpighiales; Euphorbiaceae
Source: RNAcentral